AGUGAACGCUGGCGGUAGGCCUAACACAUGCAAGUCGAACGGCAGCACAGUAAGAGCUUGCUCUUACGGGUGGCGAGUGGCGGACGGGUGAGGAAUACAUCGGAAUCUACUUUUUCGUGGGGGAUAACGUAGGGAAACUUACGCUAAUACCGCAUACGACCUACGGGUGAAAGCAGGGGAUCUUCGGACCUUGCGCGAUUGAAUGAGCCGAUGUCGGAUUAGCUAGUUGGCGGGGUAAAGGCCCACCAAGGCGACGAUCCGUAGCUGGUCUGAGAGGAUGAUCAGCCACACUGGAACUGAGACACGGUCCAGACUCCUACGGGAGGCGGCAGGGGGGAAUAUUGGACAAUGGGCGCAAGCCUGAUCCAGCCAUACCGCGUGGGUGAAGAAGGCCUUCGGGUUGUAAAGCCCUUUUGUUGGGAAAGAAAAGCAGCAGGUUAAUACCCCGCUGUUCUGACGGUACCCAAAGAAUAAGCACCGGCUAACUUCGU
RNAcentral lists this ribosomal RNA (491 nucleotides) under uncultured bacterium. RNAcentral's name for it is "partial 16S ribosomal RNA". It matches the Rfam family "Bacterial small subunit ribosomal RNA", at positions 29 to 506 of the family's 1533-position model. The record is from RNAcentral.